UUUUUGUUUUGUUUUUUUUUUGAGACAGAGUCUCACUCUGUCACCCAGGCUAUAGUGUAGUUCAGUGGUGCGAUCUCAGCUAACCACAACCUCUGCCUCUCAGAUUCAAGCAAUUCUCUGCCUCAGCCACCCAAGUAGCUGGGAUUACAGAUGCCCACCACCCCACCACCACAUGCAGCUAAUUUUUGUAUUUUUAGUAAAGGCAGGGUCUCACCAUCUUGGCCAGGCUGGUUUUGAACUCCUGACCUCAUGAUCCACCUGCCUCAGCCUCCCAAAGAGCUGGGAUUACAGGCAUGAGCCACCAUGCCUGGCCUGAUGAUAGUUUCUUUUGCUGUGCAGAAGUUCUUUAGUUUAAUUAGGUCCCUUUUGUCAAUUUUUGCUUUCGUUGAAAUUGCUUUUGGCAUUUUCAUCAUACAAUUUUUGCACUUGCCUAUGUCCUGAAUGGUAUUGCCUAGAGUCUCUUCUAGGGCCUUUAUAGCUUUGGAUUUUACAUUUAUGCCUUUAAUCCAUCUUGAGUUAAUUUUUCUAUAAGGUGUAAGGAAGGGGUCCAGUUUUAAUUUUCCACAUAUAGCUAGGCAGUUCUCCUAGCACCAUUUAUUAAAGAGGGAAUCUUUUCUCCAUUGCUUGUUUUUGCCAGGUUUGUUGAAGAUCAGGUGGUUGUAGGUGUGUGGUCUUAUUUCUGAGUUCUCUGUUUUUGUCCAUUGCGCUAUGUGUCUGUUUGUGUACCAGUACCAUGCUCUUUUGGCUACUGUAGCCUUGUAGUAUAGUUUGAAGGCAGGUACCAUUAUGUCUCCAGUUGUGUUCUUUUUGCUUAGCAAAAAUUUUAAAAUAGUUUUUUUUUCUAAUCCUGUGAAGGAUGUCAAUGGUAGUUUAACUGAAAUAGCAUAGAAUCUAUAAAUAACUUUGAGCAGUAUGAUCGUUUUCACAAGAUUGAUUCUUCCUAUCCAUGAGAAUCGAAUGUUUUUUUCAUUUCUUUGUGUCCUCUCUAACUUCCUUGAGCAGUAGUUUGUAAAUCCCCUUGAAGACAUUCUUCACUUCCUUUUUUAGUUGUAUUCCUAGGUAUUUUAUUCUCUUUGUAGCAAUUGCAAAUGGAAGUUCAUUCAUGAUUUGACUCUCUGUCCAUGUUGGUG
This 1130-nucleotide long non-coding RNA is filed under the name Macaca fascicularis (crab-eating macaque). Its description in RNAcentral is "lncRNA (ENSMFAG00000063423.1)". Lineage: Eukaryota; Metazoa; Chordata; Mammalia; Primates; Cercopithecidae. The record is from RNAcentral.